This is an unclassified non-coding RNA of Microcebus murinus (gray mouse lemur), 102 nucleotides long. Its record names the gene Vault. It matches the Rfam family "Vault RNA". From Rfam's summary of the family: This family of RNAs are found as part of the enigmatic vault ribonucleoprotein complex. The complex consists of a major vault protein (MVP), two minor vault proteins (VPARP and TEP1), and several small untranslated RNA molecules. NCBI's taxonomy places the organism in Eukaryota, Metazoa, Chordata, Mammalia, Primates, Cheirogaleidae. The record is from Ensembl.
GGGCUGGCAUUAGCUCAAGUGGUUACUUCGGCACGAUGGACUUUUCAUCCAUCUAAUCCCUGCACUGGGGUUCGAGACCCGAUAGUGCUUUCUGACCCUUUA